CCCUUUUAUUUCUUGCCUCUCUCUUUCAUACCCUUUUACUGUUACCUGGUUGACCAGAGCUGUCACUUUAGAAAGUGGAUGGUCUUCACACAGAGACUGACUUGAUUUUAGAUGGGAAUGCUGGCCUGUUUCCUCCCAGGGCGAUCUGUAGUGCCACCUUCUGGACCUGUCCACCCUGCUCCUCACCUGAGCACCUGGCCAGCAGCUGUGCAUUUCCAUUGUCUUCCAUAGGUGAUAGUAAAUACAAUGUGUUCCUUUCAUAGACUAAUAGUUUACCUUCUCUUUGAUAUAACAGAUUAAUGAAAGAAAUCUGUAUCAAUGCGAGCUCGACACUAAACCAUCGUUAUCCAUAGAAAAGUAAAAGUGGAGGGAGUGAAGUACAGUAUGAGGACCUGUAGGCUCAGCAGAUCCAGCUGCUCUCAAAUGCAUGCAUGGUGUUUUCCUUUUUCUCCACCACUCUUCUGUCUUGUGCACCACAUUCUCCCCAGGAGUGGAGGUGACCUCGGGGCAGCCUCUAGGCAGCAAGCCCAGCAGAAGCUUCGGGGUGGAAAGUGCAUGAAUGGAGGUCUUGGAACCACGUUUAGCAUGGACUCGAGUGUAAAUCCCAGCGCCCGCCUCUCCCAGUCAUUCAGCCUCUCAACCCCUCAGCAGAACUGGAAAAUAAGAUGGAAGAAAAGUCUUCCAGUGUGGUUGUUCAGAUUGCAGAAAGUUCUCAUUUAUUCACUAAUGCCCCUGAUGGACGUCGCCAGCUGA
This 753-nucleotide long non-coding RNA is filed under the name Canis lupus familiaris (dog). RNAcentral's name for it is "lncRNA (ENSCAFG00000053248.1, ENSCAFG00845028902.1)". Lineage: Eukaryota; Metazoa; Chordata; Mammalia; Carnivora; Canidae. The record is from RNAcentral.